GGUCGAGUCGUAUAACGGUUAGUACAGUCGCUUCACAAAUUAGCUAAUUUGCGGAGCGCGCGACAGACCCGGGUUCGACUCCCGGCUCGACUA
RNAcentral lists this transfer RNA (93 nucleotides) under Pochonia chlamydosporia 170. It matches the Rfam family "tRNA". Rfam says of the family: Transfer RNA (tRNA) molecules are approximately 80 nucleotides in length. Their secondary structure includes four short double-helical elements and three loops (D, anti-codon, and T loops). Further hydrogen bonds mediate the characteristic L-shaped molecular structure. tRNAs have two regions of fundamental functional importance: the anti-codon, which is responsible for specific mRNA codon recognition, and the 3' end, to which the tRNAs corresponding amino acid is attached (by aminoacyl-tRNA synthetases). tRNAs cope with the degeneracy of the genetic code in two manners: having more than one tRNA (with a specific anti-codon) for a particular amino acid; and 'wobble' base-pairing, i.e. permitting non-standard base-pairing at the 3rd anti-codon position. The record is from Rfam by way of RNAcentral. Lineage: Eukaryota; Fungi; Ascomycota; Sordariomycetes; Hypocreales; Clavicipitaceae.